CUCUACCUUUAACCCCCCCAAACCAGGUCUGUACCUUUAACCCCCCCAAACCAGGUCUGUACCUUUAACCGCCCCAAACCAGGUCUGUACCUUUAACCGCCCCAAACCAGGUCUGUACCUUUAACCCCCCCAAACCAGGUCUGUACCUUUAACCGCCCCAAACCAGGUCUCUACCUUUAACCCCCCCAAACCAGGUCUGUACCUUUAACCACCCCGAGCCAGGUCUGUACCUUUAACCCCCCCAAACCAGGUCUGUACCUUUAACCGCCCCGAGCCAGGUCUCUGCCGGUAACCGCCCCAUUCCUUUAGAUCAGACAUCAACUUCUAGUCAAGCUGGUUGUUGCUUUCUUGAUAAAUGAUGAAGGUCUUUGGUUCUCAUCUCAUAUGAAAAGAAGGAGACGUUUGUGUUGGAGGUGAUGAGUCGUCUGUGCAGAAUGAGCUGCAAGUUACAAGAAGAGAUUUAAAACUGUUGCCUUUAGGACACUAACAGGCUGCUUACUUUAGUCUGCAUCAAACCUGAGACUCUCGACAACCAGCCAGGAAGGAACUCGCUGUUUGGGCUCAUGAGAUGUAGAUGCUUUUACAAAUACAGUGUAAUUAACUUCAUCGUAGUUGCAGAGCAACUUAUUGUUCAUAUUGUCGAUAUUUAAGCAUUUAACCUGAAAUCGGAGCCUUCCAUGGAUUUGUGAAUGACAAGAAGAGAAUCUGUCUCUUCGUUCAAUGUAAGAACUCACUGGAGACGAGAUCUAUCACCUAUUUAUGUCAUGUAAAUAGAUUUGGGUUUUGUUUGAGUAUUUAACAGGUCAGAGCAGUUAGUGUCUUCCAGCGAACUGCAGCCACAAGACAAACUGUCUGAUCACCACUAACCUGACUCCUAAUGUGCAAGGGAAUGGGAAAAGUUCAACUGGAAAAAUAAAUGAUGGAAUAAUGUCAUAAA
Molecule: long non-coding RNA, 937 nt
Organism: Xiphophorus hellerii (green swordtail)
Lineage: Eukaryota; Metazoa; Chordata; Actinopteri; Cyprinodontiformes; Poeciliidae
Exons: 2
Source: RefSeq, a predicted model, not a curated record